Molecule: ribosomal RNA, 106 nt
Filed under: uncultured bacterium
Lineage: Bacteria
Description: partial 16S ribosomal RNA
Rfam family: Bacterial small subunit ribosomal RNA
Source: RNAcentral
CCCGUUGUACACACCGCCCGUCACACCAUGGGAGUUGGUUCUACCCGAAGGUGGUGCGCUAACCGCAAGGAGGCAGCCAACCACGGUAGGGUCAGCGACUGGGGUG